CCUACGGGUGGCAGCAGUCGAGAAUCAUUCACAAUGGGGGAAACCCUGAUGGUGCGACGCCGCGUGGGGGAAUGAAGGUCUUCGGAUUGUAAACCCCUGUCAUGUGGGAGCAAAUUAAAAAGAUAGUACCACAAGAGGAAGAGACGGCUAACUCUGUGCCAGCAGCCGCGGUAAUACAGAGGGCUCAAGCGUUGUUCGGAAUCACUGGGCGUAAAGCGUGCGUAGGCUGUUUCGUACGUCGUGGGGGAAAGGGGCGGGCUCAACCCGCGGACGGCACAUGAUACUGCGAUACUAGAGUAAUGGAGGGGGAAGCGGAAUGCGCGGUGUAGCAGUGAAAUGCGUAGAUAUCGAGAGGAACACUCGUGGCGAAGGCGGGUUCCUGGACAUUAACUGACGCUGAGGCACGAAGGCCAGGGGAGCGAAAGGGAUUAGAUACCCCGGUAGUC
Molecule: ribosomal RNA, 446 nt
Filed under: uncultured bacterium
Lineage: Bacteria
Description: partial 16S ribosomal RNA
Rfam family: Bacterial small subunit ribosomal RNA
Source: RNAcentral